AAGCUUCGGGGAGGAGCAAAUAUCCUUUGAUCCGGAGAUUUCUGAAUGGGGAAACCUACUUGAGCAAACCUCAAGUAUCCUUAAGCCAAUACAUAACUUAAGGAAGGGAACCCGGUGAACUGAAACAUCUAAGUAGCCGGAGGAAGAGAAAACAACAUGUGAUUCUGUGAGUAGCGGCGAGCGAAAACGGAAGAGCCCAAACCAGCGUGCGUGCAUGCUGGGGUUCGGACCGCGGAAUUGAUUCAACGAGUUUAGCAGAACGGUUUUGGGAAAGCCGGCCAGAGAGGGUGAAAGCCCCGUAAGCGAAAGAUGAGUUGACAUGGCGGUAUCCAGAGUAGGUCGAGACACGUGGAACCUUGACUGAAGAUGCGGGGACCACCCCGUAAGGCUAAAUACUCCUUAGUGACCGAUAGCGCAUAGUACUGUGAAGGAAAGGUGAAAAGGACCCCGGGAGGGGAGUGAAAAAGAACCUGAAACCAUAUGUUUACAAGCUGUGGAAGAGCUUUAUAUGCUCAACCGCGUACUUUUUGUAGAACGGUCCGGCGAGUUACGCUGGCUGGCGAGGUUAAGGACUGAAGGUCCGGAGCCGAAGGGAAACCAAGUCUGAAUAGGGCGCAUAGUCAGUCGGAGUAGACCCGAAACCGGGUGAUCUAUCCAUGUCCAGGUUGAAGUUGCCGUAAAAGGCAAUGGAGGACCGAACCCACAUCCGUUGAAAAGGGUGGGGAUGAGGUGUGGAUAGGGGAGAAAUUCCAAUCGAACCCGGAGAUAGCUGGUUCUCCUCGAAAUAGCUUUAGGGCUAGCCUCAUACGAGUCUUGCGGAGGUAGAGCACUGAAUUCCUAAGGGGGCGUCAAAGCUUACUAAGGGAUAUCAAACUCCGAAUGCCGUGUAGAUGAUGUAUGGGAGUCAGACGAUCCGAGAUAAGUUGGGUGGUCAAAAGGGAAAGAGCCCAGACCAACAGCUAAGGCCCCAAAAUGUGUGUUAAGUGGAAAAGGAUGUGGGAUUUCGAAGACAACUAGGAUGUUGGCUCAGAAGCAGCCAUACAUUCAAAGAGUGCGUAAUAGCUCACUAGUCGAGAGGUCCUGCGCCGAAAAUGUCCGGGGCUAAAACACACUGCCGAAGCUUUGGAAUUGAAUUAAUUCAAUUGGUAGAGGAGCAUUCUUAAAGGGACGAAGCAGUACCGUAAGGAGCUGUGGACUUUUAAGAAGAGAGAAUGCCGGAAUGAGUAGCGAGAGGAAGGUGGGAAUCCUUCCGGCCGAAUAUCUAAGGUUUCCAGAGUAAAGCUGAUCUGCUCUGGGUAAGUCGGGGCCUAAGGCGAGGUCGAAAGACGUAGUCGAUGGAUAACAGGUUGAAAUUCCUGUACUAUCCUGUAACAGAACUGUGGGGACACAGGCAGAGAGCGUGAGCCGGGAAUGGAAAGACCGGUACAAGCGAGGUAGGAGUUCAGUUGGCAAAUCCGCUGAACAAUCUGAAGACGUGAUGUGGACUGAAAAUAAGUAGGGAAGCACGUGAGCUGACUGUCAAGAAAAGCCGCUAUUGUUUGCAGGAUACCCGUACCGUAAACCGACACAGGUGGAUGAGGAGAGAAUCCUAAGGCCGACGGGAGAAGCAUUGUUAAGGAACUCGGCAAAAUGACUCCGUAACUUCGGGAGAAGGAGUGCCAGUAAGAUGGCCGCAGAGAAUUGGCCCAAGCAACUGUUUAGCAAAAACACAGGUCUAUGCAAAACCGAAAGGUGAGGUAUAUGGGCUGACGCCUGCCCGGUGCUGGAAGGUUAAGGGGAGAGGUUAGCGCAAGCGAAGCUUUGAACUUAAGCCCCAGUAAACGGCGGCCGUAACUAUAACGGUCCUAAGGUAGCGAAAUUCCUUGUCGGGUAAGUUCCGACCCGCACGAAAGGCGUAAUGAUUUGGGCACUGUCUCAACAAUGCACCCGGUGAAAUUGAAAUACCAGUGAAGAUGCUGGUUACCUGCGCCAGGACGGAAAGACCCCAUGGAGCUUUACUCCAGCUUGAUACUGGGAUUCGGUAUUGCAUGUACAGGAUAGGUGGGAGGCUAGGAAAUGGUAACGCCAGUUGCCAUGGAGCCGCUGUUGGGAUACCACCCUUGCAGUACUGGGUUUCUAACCAGCAGCCGUGAUCCGGCUGGGGGACAAUGUCAGGUGGGGAGUUUGACUGGGGCGGUCGCCUCCGAAAGGGUAUCGGAGGCGCUCAAAGGU
This 2211-nucleotide ribosomal RNA is filed under the name human gut metagenome. RNAcentral describes it as "bacterial LSU rRNA". It matches the Rfam family "Bacterial large subunit ribosomal RNA", at positions 73 to 2317 of the family's 2925-position model. The record is from RNAcentral.